Molecule: ribosomal RNA, 227 nt
Filed under: uncultured bacterium
Lineage: Bacteria
Description: partial 16S ribosomal RNA
Rfam family: Bacterial small subunit ribosomal RNA
Source: RNAcentral
CUGAACCAGCCAAGUAGCGUGAAGGAUGAAGGCUCUAUGGGCCGUAAACUUCUUUUAUAUAAGAAUAAAGUGCAGUAUGUAUACUGUUUUGUAUGUAUUAUAUGAAUAAGGAUCGGCUAACUCCGUGCCAGCAGCCGCGGUAAUACGGAGGAUCCGAGCGUUAUCCGGAUUUAUUGGGUUUAAAGGGAGCGUAGGUGGACUGGUAAGUCAGUUGUGAAAGUUUGCGG